AUGCACCCUCGGGCAGCUUGCAGGGGGAUGUUAAGGCAGCUGAGCAGCUUUUUUGAGGUGGGGGAGGGUAACACUCUUAGCAGUAACUCGGGUUCCCCUUCCCCCCCCUGGAAACCGCGGGGGUGGUGGCCCGGGUUCCUGUCCCCUCUUGGCUGGGGGGUGGGGAGGCAGGGUUUGGGAAGAGGACUGCGUGGGGGUAGGCCCGUGUUUCCUUCAUCCUCCUGGAGGCCACGGGGAAAGGGAGAGGCCCGAGUUCCCCUCACCCACGCUAGGCGUGGGGGCGAGGGGAGAGCGCGGGUUGAAGGGCUGCGUAGGGUCGCAGGUCCCCCCACCGUGGGGGUAGGGGCUGCAUUGGGACGCGGAGCCUCCCCAGAGGCCGUGGGGGGGGUGCGGACUCUAGCCCCCCUUCGCCGUGGGGGAGGGGCGGGCCUGGAGUCCCCUCCCCCGGCCGUGGGGGAGGGGCAGGUUUGGGGCGCGACCCCCCCCCCACAGGGCGCAGGGGCGGGGCCGAAUGGACUCGGGUUCCCCUCCCCCUCGCCGUGGCGGUGGGGACGGGUUGGGGGGGUUGGGGCGCGCUCCUCCCCCCCCCGGCUGUGGGGGAGGGGCUGGCCCGGGCGGCGGCGGCCCCCCUGGAAGUCCUCCCGGCCCGGGCCGGCGCGCUGGCGGCCGCUCGCCCUCCACCCGCACCAACCCGGAGGUCACUGCCCGUGCCGGUCCCUCCCGCCGUCCCGCCCUCUCCCGCCGCCGCCGCCACUACCACCGCCGCCGCCGCUCCCGCCCCAGCCCCCCCCCCCCACUCUCCGCUCUCGGGAGCGAGGAGCCGCCAGCGCCCCCGCCCCGCCGCCGCCGCAGCGCCCUCGGCCGCCAUUCGGCACCCGAAACUUUCCAGCGCCCGCGCCUCUCCGGGACUCGCGGCGGCGGGGCGGGGGCGGCCCGGGGGCGGCGCGCGGCUGCUCCAGGGCGCCGGGCCCUCGUCGGCCGCGGCACGGCCCGGUCUCGGCGACGGCCGGCGACAGGGAGGUUCGGCGCGCCGCGGCGCCGCCACAAGUUGCGCUGCUGGCGGCGAGGUGGAGCGCGCGAUGUCCGGGACGCUGCGUGUGACGCUGGGGGGACGUCCGCAGGUGGAGCGCGCGGAGCCCGGAUGCUGCGUGUGACGCUGGGGGGACGUCCGCAGGUGGAGCGCGCGGAGCCUGGACACUGCAUGUGACGCUGGGGGAACGUCCG
Molecule: long non-coding RNA, 1224 nt
Filed under: Zalophus californianus (California sea lion)
Lineage: Eukaryota; Metazoa; Chordata; Mammalia; Carnivora; Otariidae
Description: lncRNA (ENSZCAG00015024911.1)
Source: RNAcentral